CAGUAGCCACGGUAAAACGUAGGUGGCAAGCGUUGUCCGGAAUUAUUGGGCGUAAAGGGCUCGCAGGCGGUUUCUUAAGUCUGAUGUGAAAGCCCCCGGCUCAACCGGGGAGGGUCAUUGGAAACUGGGAAACUUGAGUGCAGAAGAGGAGAGUGGAAUUCCACGUGUAGCGGUGAAAUGCGUAGAGAUGUGGAGGAACACCAGUGGCGAAGGCGACUCUCUGGUCUGUAACUGACGCUGAGGAGCGAAAGCGUGGGGAGCGAACAGGAUUAGAUACCCCCGUAGUCCCUGUCUCUUAUAC
RNAcentral lists this ribosomal RNA (301 nucleotides) under uncultured bacterium. RNAcentral's name for it is "partial 16S ribosomal RNA". It matches the Rfam family "Bacterial small subunit ribosomal RNA", at positions 509 to 807 of the family's 1533-position model. The record is from RNAcentral.